CUUCCUGUCUAUGUAACCACACCACCAACUUUGCAGUGCUGAUGAAUUACCUGGAGUCGAAGUGGAGUCCUGAGGAGCAGCUUAUUUUGACCAAGCUGACGUUCAUCGGCUCUGGUGCGUCUCUGUGUGCAUUGGUGGUGACCUUGAUGCUGUUCACUGUGCUAGAUAUCCCCAAAUCUGACAGGACGUCCAUCCAUAAGAACCUGUUCAUUGCUCUGAUCUGCGCCCAGGUGAUUCUGCUCUGCAGCGGCUCAGCCAUUCACAA
This 265-nucleotide long non-coding RNA is filed under the name Cottoperca gobio. Its description in RNAcentral is "lncRNA (ENSCGOG00000016912.1)". Lineage: Eukaryota; Metazoa; Chordata; Actinopteri; Perciformes; Bovichtidae. The record is from RNAcentral.